GAAGUUAGCAUGCAAAAAGCUUGGUUCUAUGAGGAGCAUGGUCCUAAGGAAGUCCUCAAAUUGGGAGAUUUCCCAAUUCCUUCUCCACUGCACAAUCAGCUAUUAGUUGAAGUUCGGGCUGCUGCUUUGAAUCCUAUUGAUUCCAAAAGACGUCAAAAACCCUUUUGUCCUUCAGAAUUUCCAGUGGUCCCUGGCUGUGACGUGGCAGGUGUGGUGGUAGCAAAAGGCAGUGGUGUUACAAAAUUUUGUAUUGGUGAUGAGGUUUAUGGAAACAUUCAAGACUUUAAUGCAGAGGGACAACCAAAGCAGCUUGGGACACUGGCAGAGUUCAUAGUCGUGGAGGAGAGUUUGGUUGCAAAGAAGCCAAAAAACCUUUCAUUUGAAGAGGCUGCUAGCUUGCCACUUGCUGUUCAGACUGCAAUUGAAGGUUUCAUAACUGCAGAUUUUAAAGAGGGGGAGAAUAUUUUUGUAGUUGGUGGAGGUGGUGGGGUUGGCAGUUUAGUUGUUCAGCUUGCGAAGCAUUUAUUUGGAUCUUCUUAUGUUGUUGCUACUUGUAGCACUCCUAAGGUGGAAUUUGUCAAAAGUUUGGGAGCUGAUGAAGUUGUUGACUACACCAAGACAAGAUAUGAGGAAAUUGAGGAGAAAUAUGAUUAUGUUUACGAUACAAUUGGUAUGUUUCCACUUGACCUCGUAGAUUGCAGCUUCCAUUCUGAGAAAGUGUUUCAUAUUGAGCUCUUUUUUCUAUUAACCUCAACUUUUGCGAUGGAUGAAUCUUAAUUCUGUUGAUCUGCUAAAACUAUUGCAUUUUUUUAUCAUAUUAAAAUAUUAAAUGGAGGUAUUAUUUUAGUAUAAUUUUGUUUUGUUUCUUUCUGUAAAUGUCUCUUAAUUUAUAAUUUGAUCUUCAGGCGACUCCAAGAAUUCUUUUGUGGUAGCUAAGGAUGGCGCACCAAUUAUUGACAUAACCUGGCCGCCCUCAAAUCCAAGGGCUGUUUAUUCAAGCUUGACAGUUUCAGGGGAAAACCUGGAGAAGCUUGAGCCAUUUCUGGAGACUGGCAAACUCAAGGCUGUGAUUGAUCCUACCGGUCCAUAUAAUUUUAUGGAUGUAAUCCAAGCUUUUGGUUAUUUAGAAACUGGAAGAGCCCGCGGAAAGGUUGUUAUCUCUUCCUUCCCAUCAGAGCACCAUCUCCAUCCUGCCAUAUGCGAAAGCAAGAACAAUAUCUGAGAUUUGUAUUCGCAGAAGAUUCUGUUUUAUUGGUGUGAAUUUAUUCAGGGUUGUUAAAAAUAGCAGAAAUGAAUGUAUUGAAUAUGCCUGUCAUAAGUUUUGAGUUUCUGGUUGUUUUCUUGUGUAUCAGUGUCUUAAUUCUUUUGUUCCUCCUCCAUAAGAAAUUAAUAUACUAAGUUAUUAUUCCUGGU
This 1413-nucleotide unclassified non-coding RNA is filed under the name Hevea brasiliensis (rubber tree). Lineage: Eukaryota; Viridiplantae; Streptophyta; Magnoliopsida; Malpighiales; Euphorbiaceae. The record is from RNAcentral.